This 217-nucleotide long non-coding RNA is filed under the name Mytilus galloprovincialis (Mediterranean mussel). Lineage: Eukaryota; Metazoa; Mollusca; Bivalvia; Mytilida; Mytilidae. The record is from RNAcentral.
AAUUAACAUAGAAAAUAAGUGUAAAUUAUAUAAAUAAACGUAUGACUAUCCUAAGACCAUCAUAAGUCACCUCUCGUGUAGUCCUAACUUUAUGACCAACUUUAAGAGAUGUCCUAAGUUAGGACCACUUUGUGAAACCCACUUAGGACUAAGAUAUGUCAUAAGACCAUCCUAAGAUAUGUCUUAGUCCUAAGACAGCUUCGUGAAACUGGCCCCA